AACGAACGCUGGCGGCAUGCCUAACACAUGCAAGUCGAACGAGACCUUCGGGUCUAGUGGCGCACGGGUGCGUAACGCGUGGUAACCUGCCCUUAGGUUCGGAAUAACUCCCCGAAAGGGGUCCUAAUACCGGAUAAUGUCUUCGGACCAAAGAUUUAUCGCCUUUGGAUGGGCCCGCGUUGGAUUAGCUAGUUGGUAGGGUAAAAGCCUACCAAGGCGACGAUCCAUAGCUGGUCUGAGAGGAUGAUCAGCCACACUGGGACUGAGACACGGCCCAGACUCCUACGGGAGGCAGCAGUGGGGAAUAUUGGACAAUGGGCGAAAGCCUGAUCCAGCAAUGCCGCGUGAGUGAUGAAGGCCUUAGGGUUGUAAAGCUCUUUUACCCGGGAUGAUAAUGACAGUACCGGGAGAAUAAGCUCCGGCUAACUCCGUG
RNAcentral lists this ribosomal RNA (433 nucleotides) under uncultured bacterium. Its description in RNAcentral is "partial 16S ribosomal RNA". It matches the Rfam family "Bacterial small subunit ribosomal RNA", at positions 29 to 507 of the family's 1533-position model. The record is from RNAcentral.